This 261-nucleotide ribosomal RNA is filed under the name Lodderomyces parapsilosis. RNAcentral's name for it is "Candida parapsilosis partial 28S ribosomal RNA". It matches the Rfam family "Eukaryotic large subunit ribosomal RNA", at positions 1 to 258 of the family's 3401-position model. The record is from RNAcentral. Lineage: Eukaryota; Fungi; Ascomycota; Pichiomycetes; Serinales; Debaryomycetaceae.
CGACCUCAAAUCAGGUAGGACUACCCGCUGAACUUAAGCAUAUCAAUAAGCGGAGGAAAAGAAACCAACAGGGAUUGCCUUAGUAGCGGCGAGUGAAGCGGCAAAAGCUCAAAUUUGAAAUCUGGCACUUUCAGUGUCCGAGUUGUAAUUUGAAGAAGGUAUCUUUGGGUCUGGCUCUUGUCUAUGUUUCUUGGAACAGAACGUCACAGAGGGUGAGAAUCCCGUGCGAUGAGAUGUCCCAGACCUAUGUAAAGUUCCUUU